CUUGAAUCAAGAAAAUUCCACAACUCAAAUCGACAAAUCCAACAACGUCUUCAAAUUAGGGUUUUCAGAGAGAUAAAACGAAGAGAUGAGAGAUAUGAAUACAGUGGAGGGAGAAAAGCUCUACAUUAGUUUCCUUGGAAUUCUAGGGCUUCAGGUUAGGGAUUUUACAGCAGCAAUGGGGAGAAAUGAUCGAUGGGGAAGAAG
Molecule: long non-coding RNA, 204 nt
Filed under: Vitis vinifera (wine grape)
Lineage: Eukaryota; Viridiplantae; Streptophyta; Magnoliopsida; Vitales; Vitaceae
Description: long non-coding RNA (VVIN_LNC000520)
Source: RNAcentral